RNAcentral lists this ribosomal RNA (484 nucleotides) under uncultured bacterium. Its description in RNAcentral is "partial 16S ribosomal RNA". It matches the Rfam family "Bacterial small subunit ribosomal RNA", at positions 29 to 507 of the family's 1533-position model. The record is from RNAcentral.
AUUGAACGCUGGCGGCAUGCUUUACACAUGCAAGUCGAACGGCAGCGCGGGCUUCGGCCUGGCGGCGAGUGGCGAACGGGUGAGUAAUACAUCGGAACGUGCCCAGUAGUGGGGGAUAGCUCGGCGAAAGCCGGAUUAAUACCGCAUACGACCUGAGGGUGAAAGCGGGGGAUCUUCGGACCUCGCGCUUUGGGAGCGGCCGAUGGCAGAUUAGCUAGUUGGUGGGGUAAAGGCCUACCAAGGCGACGAUCUGUAGCUGGUCUGAGAGGACGACCAGCCACACUGGGACUGAGACACGGCCCAGACUCCUACGGGAGGCAGCAGUGGGGAAUUUUGGACAAUGGGCGAAAGCCUGAUCCAGCAAUGCCGCGUGUGUGAUGAAGGCCUUCGGGUUGUAAAGCACUUUUGGCGGGAACGAAAAGGACUGUGCCAAUACCACGGUUCGAUGACGGUACCCGCAGAAUAAGCACCGGCUAACUACGUG